GCAGGGACUUGUAUGGUGGGGUGGUUCAAACUGGACCUUUGCUUUAUUGGGGAUCCAGUGGAGAGACCAGAGCAAUGGAGGGCUGUGUGUGUGUGAUUCUAUAGAAUGCUGAUCCCUGGGGGUAGUCGGAGGCUUGAACGUGGGUGUGCUGUGGACAUGCGCUCCCCUCAGGGAUUAAUCCUGCAGCUGGAAUGUUGAGACAAACUCCUCCGGUGCCCAGAGAAGAGACCGAGGAGGAGAACGAGACGGAGACGAACCCGAGCUCAAGCUCGAACCUGUUCCCAGAGACGAUGCCUGCGUCCCGGCCGACCCGACUCUCCCAGCCCCCCUGACCUGCUCAAAACCUCAUCCUGCCUGUUCCCUGGUCCCCCUUUUCCAUCCCCUUCCUUCCCACCCGUUGUAAGGGCAAAUAAAAGCCUUCAUCAACAGGCAACUGCACCUCUUGCCUCCUGCCUCAUCUCUUACACACACACAUACUGCACAAGGACCAACUUCUACAGGCCUACAGUGUCGCAAAUACAUGGGUACAAACUGUACGCCAAAAGGUUGCAACAUAUUGCAUCUAUGUAUGAUCA
This 575-nucleotide long non-coding RNA is filed under the name Scleropages formosus (Asian bonytongue). RNAcentral's name for it is "lncRNA (ENSSFOG00015028601.1)". The record is from RNAcentral. Lineage: Eukaryota; Metazoa; Chordata; Actinopteri; Osteoglossiformes; Osteoglossidae.